GGCGGGAUAGCUCAGUUGGCUAGAGCAUUCGGUUCAUACCCGGAGGGUCGAGGGUUCGAAUCCCCCUCCCGCUACCA
This 77-nucleotide transfer RNA is filed under the name Coprobacillus sp. BIOML-A1. RNAcentral's name for it is "tRNA-Met". It matches the Rfam family "tRNA". From Rfam's summary of the family: Transfer RNA (tRNA) molecules are approximately 80 nucleotides in length. The record is from RNAcentral. Lineage: Bacteria; Bacillati; Bacillota; Erysipelotrichia; Erysipelotrichales; Coprobacillaceae.